This 547-nucleotide ribosomal RNA is filed under the name uncultured bacterium. RNAcentral's name for it is "bacterial SSU rRNA". It matches the Rfam family "Bacterial small subunit ribosomal RNA", at positions 355 to 896 of the family's 1533-position model. The record is from RNAcentral.
UGGGGAAUAUUGGACAAUGGGCGAAAGCCUGAUCCAGCCAUGCCGCGUGUGUGAAGAAGGCCUUAGGGUUGUAAAGUUCUUUCGGUAUUGAGGAAGGUUGAUGUGUUAAUAGCACAUCAAAUUGACGUUAAAUACAGAAGAAGCACCGGCUAACUCCGUGCCAGCAGCCGCGGUAAUACGGAGGGUGCGAGCGUUAAUCGGAAUAACUGGGCGUAAAGGGCACGCAGGCGGUUAUUUAAGUGAGGUGUGAAAGCCCCGGGCUUAACCUGGGAAUUGCAUUUCAGACUGGGUAACUAGAGUACUUUAGGGAGGGGUAGAAUUCCACGUGUAGCGGUGAAAUGCGUAGAGAUGUGGAGGAAUACCGAAGGCGAAGGCAGCCCCUUGGGAAUGUACUGACGCUCAUGUGCGAAAGCGUGGGGAGCAAACAGGAUUAGAUACCCUGGUAGUCCACGCUGUAAACGCUGUCGAUUUGGGGGUUGGGGUUUAACUCUGGCGCCCGUAGCUAACGUGAUAAAUCGACCGCCUGGGGAGUACGGCCGCAAGGUUA